Salmo salar (Atlantic salmon) is the source of this 58-nucleotide non-coding RNA. The record is from Rfam. Lineage: Eukaryota; Metazoa; Chordata; Actinopteri; Salmoniformes; Salmonidae.
UGGCUCAGUUGGUAGAGCAUGGUGUUUGCAACGCCAAGGUUGUGGGUUUGAUUCCCAU